This 358-nucleotide small RNA is filed under the name Histoplasma ohiense. RNAcentral's name for it is "hypothetical lncRNA". The record is from RNAcentral. Lineage: Eukaryota; Fungi; Ascomycota; Eurotiomycetes; Onygenales; Ajellomycetaceae.
GACCCCUAUAUUCUACUGCCUUGAUAUCUGAUCCUUCGAUCCGAAUCCCUUCCAAUAUAUCACCGUAUUAUCUUAGAGUUCUAAGGACCUCCCCUAGAAAAGUGGCGAGUCCCUUGACCCGCUGCCUACAUCUUCCUCCUUUGAACAUCGUCAACAACACUUCAUUCAUUCAAGCAGGUCAGUAGUCAGGUAGCCAGCUAGUAAGCUAAUAUUGAUAGAUAGGUGGGUAGCUGCUACUUGGUGAUGUUUAUUCUCAUAGAGAUUGAUUGGAUAUUGAGCAGGAAGGUUGGUUGAUAGAUAGGGAUGUAGAUAGGUAGAUAGGUAGCUAUCUAGCGGGCAUUCUAUAUUCCAUUGGCAA